GACAAGUGACUUUACACUGCUUACUCUCUCCUCUGGAAUAAGUUUAAUUUCACUCAUUUUAUGGCAUCUCACAUGGCUGAACUUUCAUACCUGAAGAGAUCAGUUUUGUAUCCAGAUGCAAUUUGGAUUAUUCUUUUGGCCUAGAGUAUUUAGCUUUUAUCUCUUUAAUGUGAUGAUUAAUGAACAUUUGCAAGAAGUUGUAUUUUCUUUUUCCA
RNAcentral lists this long non-coding RNA (215 nucleotides) under Lotus japonicus. RNAcentral describes it as "long non-coding RNA (LJAP_LNC000432)". The record is from RNAcentral. Lineage: Eukaryota; Viridiplantae; Streptophyta; Magnoliopsida; Fabales; Fabaceae.